UAAGAUCAUCUUCCAUAGGGUGGCAGCAA
This 29-nucleotide non-coding RNA is filed under the name Homo sapiens (human). The record is from RNAcentral. Lineage: Eukaryota; Metazoa; Chordata; Mammalia; Primates; Hominidae.